Long non-coding RNA from Parus major (Great Tit), 1710 nucleotides. RefSeq lists it as uncharacterized. Lineage: Eukaryota; Metazoa; Chordata; Aves; Passeriformes; Paridae. The transcript is spliced from 4 exons. The record is from RefSeq and is a predicted model, not a curated record.
GCCGCGGGGAGCGCGUCCCCUUCGGUGCCGGCGGGAUAGCCGCUGUUUUGAGGUGUGCGUGCGGAACACAGAGCGGUUUUCGGUGCCGAGGCUGGCUGUAGCUCCGGGGAUGGGUUUUUUUCCGAUUAAAUUUCGGGUUUUAUUUUCGGCUAAAUAGCGUGUUUGGCUGCUAAAAAAAAAAAAAAAAAAAAAAAAUUGGAAAAAAGAAGAUGUGAUUGCAGACGUGCAAAGAUGAGCACGUGUUCGCAUUUGUGUGUUAAUGUGCUGUCUAGAUUGUAGUAUGUAAAUCUAAUAGGUGUUAGGCACACAGGAACACAUGGAAUACACCCCAUGUGCACAGCACAGAUGUUGGAAUCCAGCUUUAACUCAAAGGCCUGAAGUAAGCAAGGUCUGGUAUUUGGACGGAAGACAAAUUUCUCAUAUGGACCAGAUUGCUGCAAGAAAUACAGCAAGAAAUGUUGAUCCUUGAGGCCCAUGAAUGUACCCAGCAAGAACUUUGGUAGUCUUAAUGGUUUCUGGAUCUCGGCUCUGUAAAUGAUAGUAGGAGUUUGUUGAUAACAACAGAUUCAGAAGUCAGAGCUUCAGUGAACUCAUAUAUUAAAUAAUAUCUUGAGAUGAACUUGUGGAUAAAUCCAGGAACUUGCAUACUUAAAGGACGCUGAGGUGGAAUUCAGAUAUCUCAGAAUGUAAGUGAAGACAGUUCCGCUCAGAAGAGCUCUCUGUGACACCUAAUCCUGAAGAGGCAAGAAGCUGUUCCAGUGCGAGAUGAGCUGUUCUUACUGGAAAAAUUCAAGUACAGCAAGUAGCUUCUGGAGCAUAAUUUAAAGGAGGCUUAUCUGCUCUAGGCUGUCCCUGUACUUAAUGGUAAACAGGUGUUAAAAGCCUCCUUAAGAUCUGAAUCAUCCUCUCAAGAAAGCUAUUUCUUUCACUUGACUAUCCCUUUAUCCCCCAGGGAAAGUAAGUAUCUAAAAUAAUUUACAGGCUCAUUUAGGGGCUGAAAGCUAGAUGGGAAGAAGUCAGGUUCAGGAAUCUAUUUUUGGCUAUGACAGAACUCACUAAAAAUGAGUAAGCAUCCAUGCUGCUAACCUCAGUUCUGGAAAUUAAGAGAAGCAGCUUACAUGAAAGUUCUGCACUAUUAUGUUAUAUUCUUUAAAGGUUAGUAAUAAAAAAAUUGAGUUUGAGAUUGUGUCUGUGGGAAGUCUUUAAUCACAAACCAGAUGAAUUAACAACUCUUAGGGACAAAAGAUUCUGACACAGACAAAAAUUAUGCUUGACUGAGUCAGUCUGCUAAAAGAAAUUUUUUUCUUAACCCAUAUCAAAAUAUUCCAUGAUGUAUUAUAAUUCAGAACAAGCUUGUUUAAGAGUUAAUUAGCCUUACAUUGCUCCUUCACAUCUCCCAAAGGAAGUACAAUGCACAUGAGAAAUUCACAUUUGGUUGCUGAGAAGUUUUGUACUUAAAAGCAGCUCUUGACUUCCAAUCUCUUCAUUGUUCUGCUGAGAUUUUUCCCAGUGCUGUUUUUGACCUACUCUAACUUUUCUGCGGUCAGUUUCUUUUUGGAGCAUGGAGAAUCAGAAAUUGUCUUGUGUCAAAUAUUUAACUCUUUAGCCUGGGUGACAUGCUGUAUGUUCAUGUACUACAGCCUAAUAUAUACCACAGAAAGAUCUUGUAAGAGGUCUUUUCUUGUCAUGUCCUUCAAAAUACAUGGUCCA